Molecule: ribosomal RNA, 253 nt
Filed under: uncultured bacterium
Lineage: Bacteria
Description: partial 16S ribosomal RNA
Rfam family: Bacterial small subunit ribosomal RNA
Source: RNAcentral
UACGUAGGGUGCAAGCGUUGUCCGGAAUUAUUGGGCGUAAAGAGCUCGUAGGCGGUUUGUCGCGUCUGCUGUGAAAAUCCAGGGCUUAACCCUGGACCUGCAGUGGGUACGGGCAGACUAGAGUGCGGUAGGGGAGAUCGGAAUUCCUGGUGUAGCGGUGAAAUGCGCAGAUAUCAGGAGGAACACCGGUGGCGAAGGCGGGACUCUGGGCCGAUACUGACGCUGAGGAGCGAAAGCGUGGGGAGCAAACAGG